RNAcentral lists this ribosomal RNA (2417 nucleotides) under Salmonella enterica. RNAcentral describes it as "partial 23S ribosomal RNA". It matches the Rfam family "Bacterial large subunit ribosomal RNA", at positions 528 to 2925 of the family's 2925-position model. Lineage: Bacteria; Pseudomonadati; Pseudomonadota; Gammaproteobacteria; Enterobacterales; Enterobacteriaceae. The record is from RNAcentral.
GGUUAACGGAGCGAAAGCGACGUUCAACCUCAAAAGAAGCAGAGGGGGCUUAGUGGUGGGGUGACUGCGUACCUUUUGUAUAAUGGGUCAGCGACUUAUAUUCUGUAGCAAGGUUAACCGAAUAGGGGAGCCGGAGGGAAACCGAGUCUUAACCGGGCGUUAAGUUGCAGGGUAUAGACCCGAAACCCGGUGAUCUAGCCAUGGGCAGGUUGAAGGUUGGGUAACACUAACUGGAGGACCGAACCGACUAAUGUUGAAAAAUUAGCGGAUGACCUGUGGCUGGGGGUGAAAGGCCAAUCAAACCGGGAGAUAGCUGGUUCUCCCCGAAAGCUAUUUAGGUAGCGCCUCGUGAAUUCAUCUCCGGGGGUAGAGCACUGUUUCGGCUAGGGGGCCAUCCCGGCUUACCAACCCGAUGCAAACUGCGAAUACCGGAGAAUGUUAUCACGGGAGACACACGGCGGGUGCUAACGUCCGUCGUGAAGAGGGAAACAACCCAGACCGCCAGCUAAGGUCCCAAAGUCAUGGUUAAGUGGGAAACGAUGUGGGAAGGCCCAGACAGCCAGGAUGUUGGCUUAGAAGCAGCCAUCAUUUAAAGAAAGCGUAAUAGCUCACUGGUCGAGUCGGCCUGCGCGGAAGAUGUAACGGGGCUAAACCAUGCACCGAAGCUGCGGCAGCGACGCUGAUGCGUUGUUGGGUAGGGGAGCGUUCUGUAAGCCUGCGAAGGUGGCCUGUGAGGGUUGCUGGAGGUAUCAGAAGUGCGAAUGCUGACAUAAGUAACGAUAAAGCGGGUGAAAAGCCCGCUCGCCGGAAGACCAAGGGUUCCUGUCCAACGUUAAUCGGGGCAGGGUGAGUCGACCCCUAAGGCGAGGCCGAAAGGCGUAGUCGAUGGGAAACGGGUUAAUAUUCCCGUACUUGGUGUUACUGCGAAGGGGGGACGGAGAAGGCUAUGUUGGCCGGGCGACGGUUGUCCCGGUUUAAGCGUGUAGGUGUGUGUUCCAGGUAAAUCCGGUUCACUUUAACACUGAGGCGUGAUGACGAGGCACUACGGUGCUGAAGCAACAAAUGCCCUGCUUCCAGGAAAAGCCUCUAAGCAUCAGGUAACAUCAAAUCGUACCCCAAACCGACACAGGUGGUCAGGUAGAGAAUACCAAGGCGCUUGAGAGAACUCGGGUGAAGGAACUAGGCAAAAUGGUGCCGUAACUUCGGGAGAAGGCACGCUGACACGUAGGUGAAGUGAUUUACUCAUGGAGCUGAAGUCAGUCGAAGAUACCAGCUGGCUGCAACUGUUUAUUAAAAACACAGCACUGUGCAAACACGAAAGUGGACGUAUACGGUGUGACGCCUGCCCGGUGCCGGAAGGUUAAUUGAUGGGGUCAGCGCAAGCGAAGCUCCUGAUCGAAGCCCCGGUAAACGGCGGCCGUAACUAUAACGGUCCUAAGGUAGCGAAAUUCCUUGUCGGGUAAGUUCCGACCUGCACGAAUGGCGUAAUGAUGGCCAGGCUGUCUCCACCCGAGACUCAGUGAAAUUGAACUCGCUGUGAAGAUGCAGUGUACCCGCGGCAAGACGGAAAGACCCCGUGAACCUUUACUAUAGCUUGACACUGAACAUUGAGCCUUGAUGUGUAGGAUAGGUGGGAGGCUUUGAAGUGUGGACGCCAGUCUGCAUGGAGCCGGCCUUGAAAUACCACCCUUUAAUGUUUGAUGUUCUAACGUGGACCCGUGAUCCGGGUUGCGGACAGUGUCUGGUGGGUAGUUUGACUGGGGCGGUCUCCUCCUAAAGAGUAACGGAGGAGCACGAAGGUUGGCUAAUCCUGGUCGGACAUCAGGAGGUUAGUGCAAUGGCAUAAGCCAGCUUGACUGCGAGCGUGACGGCGCGAGCAGGUGCGAAAGCAGGUCAUAGUGAUCCGGUGGUUCUGAAUGGAAGGGCCAUCGCUCAACGGAUAAAAGGUACUCCGGGGAUAACAGGCUGAUACCGCCCAAGAGUUCAUAUCGACGGCGGUGUUUGGCACCUCGAUGUCGGCUCAUCACAUCCUGGGGCUGAAGUAGGUCCCAAGGGUAUGGCUGUUCGCCAUUUAAAGUGGUACGCGAGCUGGGUUUAGAACGUCGUGAGACAGUUCGGUCCCUAUCUGCCGUGGGCGCUGGAGAACUGAGGGGGGCUGCUCCUAGUACGAGAGGACCGGAGUGGACGCAUCACUGGUGUUCGGGUUGUCAUGCCAAUGGCACUGCCCGGUAGCUAAAUGCGGAAGAGAUAAGUGCUGAAAGCAUCUAAGCACGAAACUUGCCCCGAGAUGAGUUCUCCCUGAGACUUAGAGUCUCCUGAAGGAACGUUGAAGACGACGACGUUGAUAGGCCGGGUGUGUAAGCGCAGCGAUGCGUUGAGCUAACCGGUACUAAUGAACCGUGAGGCUUAACCUUACA